Molecule: small nuclear RNA, 108 nt
Organism: Amphilophus citrinellus (Midas cichlid)
Lineage: Eukaryota; Metazoa; Chordata; Actinopteri; Cichliformes; Cichlidae
Source: Ensembl
GUGCUUGUUUUGGCAAGUGCAUACACCCAAUUGGAUACAAUACAGAGAGGAUUAGCAUGGCCACUAUGCAAGAGUGACAUGCAAAUUUGUACAUUUAGGGGUAGUUGU